Molecule: ribosomal RNA, 2435 nt
Filed under: Salmonella enterica subsp. enterica serovar Hull
Lineage: Bacteria; Pseudomonadati; Pseudomonadota; Gammaproteobacteria; Enterobacterales; Enterobacteriaceae
Description: partial 23S ribosomal RNA
Rfam family: Bacterial large subunit ribosomal RNA
Source: RNAcentral
ACAAAAGCGCAUGUGCUGUGAGCUCGAUGAGUAGGGCGGGACACGUGGUAUCCUGUCUGAAUAUGGGGGGACCAUCCUCCAAGGCUAAAUACUCCUGACUGACCGAUAGUGAACCAGUACCGUGAGGGAAAGGCGAAAAGAACCCCGGCGAGGGGAGUGAAAAAGAACCUGAAACCGUGUACGUACAAGCAGUGGGAGCACCCUUUGGGGUGUGACUGCGUACCUUUUGUAUAAUGGGUCAGCGACUUAUAUUCUGUAGCAAGGUUAACCGUAUAGGGGAGCCGCAGGGAAACCGAGUCUUAACCGGGCGUUAAGUUGCAGGGUAUAGACCCGAAACCCGGUGAUCUAGCCAUGGGCAGGUUGAAGGUUGGGUAACACUAACUGGAGGACCGAACCGACUAAUGUUGAAAAAUUAGCGGAUGACCUGUGGCUGGGGGUGAAAGGCCAAUCAAACCGGGAGAUAGCUGGUUCUCCCCGAAAGCUAUUUAGGUAGCGCCUCGUGAAUUCAUCUCCGGGGGUAGAGCACUGUUUCGGCUAGGGGGCCAUCCCGGCUUACCAACCCGAUGCAAACUGCGAAUACCGGAGAAUGUUAUCACGGGAGACACACGGCGGGUGCUAACGUCCGUCGUGAAGAGGGAAACAACCCAGACCGCCAGCUAAGGUCCCAAAGUCAUGGUUAAGUGGGAAACGAUGUGGGAAGGCCCAGACAGCCAGGAUGUUGGCUUAGAAGCAGCCAUCAUUUAAAGAAAGCGUAAUAGCUCACUGGUCGAGUCGGCCUGCGCGGAAGAUGUAACGGGGCUAAACCAUGCACCGAAGCUGCGGCAGCGACACUCAGGUGUUGUUGGGUAGGGGAGCGUUCUGUAAGCCUGUGAAGGUGGCCUGUGAGGGUUGCUGGAGGUAUCAGAAGUGCGAAUGCUGACAUAAGUAACGAUAAAGCGGGUGAAAAGCCCGCUCGCCGGAAGACCAAGGGUUCCUGUCCAACGUUAAUCGGGGCAGGGUGAGUCGACCCCUAAGGCGAGGCCGAAAGGCGUAGUCGAUGGGAAACGGGUUAAUAUUCCCGUACUUGGUGUUACUGCGAAGGGGGGACGGAGAAGGCUAUGUUGGCCGGGCGACGGUUGUCCCGGUUUAAGCGUGUAGGCUGGUUUUCCAGGCAAAUCCGGAAAAUCAAGGCUGAGGCGUGACGACGAGGCACUACGGUGCUGAAGCAACAAAUGCCCUGCUUCCAGGAAAAGCCUCUAAGCAUCAGGUAACAUCAAAUCGUACCCCAAACCGACACAGGUGGUCAGGUAGAGAAUACCAAGGCGCUUGAGAGAACUCGGGUGAAGGAACUAGGCAAAAUGGUGCCGUAACUUCGGGAGAAGGCACGCUGACAUGUAGGUGAAGUGAUUUACUCACGGAGCUGAAGUCAGUCGAAGAUACCAGCUGGCUGCAACUGUUUAUUAAAAACACAGCACUGUGCAAACACGAAAGUGGACGUAUACGGUGUGACGCCUGCCCGGUGCCGGAAGGUUAAUUGAUGGGGUCAGCGCAAGCGAAGCUCCUGAUCGAAGCCCCGGUAAACGGCGGCCGUAACUAUAACGGUCCUAAGGUAGCGAAAUUCCUUGUCGGGUAAGUUCCGACCUGCACGAAUGGCGUAAUGAUGGCCAGGCUGUCUCCACCCGAGACUCAGUGAAAUUGAACUCGCUGUGAAGAUGCAGUGUACCCGCGGCAAGACGGAAAGACCCCGUGAACCUUUACUAUAGCUUGACACUGAACAUUGAGCCUUGAUGUGUAGGAUAGGUGGGAGGCUUUGAAGCGUGGACGCCAGUCUGCGUGGAGCCGACCUUGAAAUACCACCCUUUAAUGUUUGAUGUUCUAACGUGGACCCGUAAUCCGGGUUGCGGACAGUGUCUGGUGGGUAGUUUGACUGGGGCGGUCUCCUCCUAAAGAGUAACGGAGGAGCACGAAGGUUGGCUAAUCCUGGUCGGACAUCAGGAGGUUAGUGCAAUGGCAUAAGCCAGCUUGACUGCGAGCGUGACGGCGCGAGCAGGUGCGAAAGCAGGUCAUAGUGAUCCGGUGGUUCUGAAUGGAAGGGCCAUCGCUCAACGGAUAAAAGGUACUCCGGGGAUAACAGGCUGAUACCGCCCAAGAGUUCAUAUCGACGGCGGUGUUUGGCACCUCGAUGUCGGCUCAUCACAUCCUGGGGCUGAAGUAGGUCCCAAGGGUAUGGCUGUUCGCCAUUUAAAGUGGUACGCGAGCUGGGUUUAGAACGUCGUGAGACAGUUCGGUCCCUAUCUGCCGUGGGCGCUGGAGAACUGAGGGGGGCUGCUCCUAGUACGAGAGGACCGGAGUGGACGCAUCACUGGUGUUCGGGUUGUCAUGCCAAUGGCACUGCCCGGUAGCUAAAUGCGGAAGAGAUAAGUGCUGAAAGCAUCUAAGCACGAAACUUGCCCCGA